UGGAAGUCGUAACAAGGUCUCCGUUGGUGAACCAGCGGAGGGAUCAUUA
This 49-nucleotide ribosomal RNA is filed under the name Trichoderma virens. RNAcentral's name for it is "partial 18S ribosomal RNA". It matches the Rfam family "Eukaryotic small subunit ribosomal RNA", at positions 1783 to 1831 of the family's 1831-position model. The record is from RNAcentral. Lineage: Eukaryota; Fungi; Ascomycota; Sordariomycetes; Hypocreales; Hypocreaceae.